AUAACCGCCUCUCUCUCUCUCUCACUUUCUCUUACUCGCUCUCCCCCACUGUCUCUCUCUUUCUUUCUCUCUCAUCCCUGCCCCCUUCCCCUCUCGCCUCCCUCAACGGCGGCAGAUCUGGCAGAGGCGAUGGCGUCAGCGACUCCUGCGGGCCGGAUCCGAUGGUCCUAUACCCCCUCCCCCUCCCCCUCCGCCCCUAACCUUCUUCCGUGGCAGAACUGGUGGCAGCGGUGGUGUCGGUGGCUCCCGCGGGCAGAUCCAAUGGAGGCGAUGGCAGUGGUGUUUCUGACAAGCGGGUCCAGCGGUCCUCUACCCCCUCUCCGCCCCCCCCCUACCCCCAAGCUUCUCCCUCGGUGGCGGCAGUGGCAUCGAGGCUCCCACGGGCGCAUCAGGCAUAGGCGACAGUGGUGGCAUUUCCAACAGGCGGAUCUAGCGGCCCUCCACCCCCUCCCCUUCCUCCGCCCCCAAGAUUCUCCUGUGAUGGCGGCGGUGGCAUCGAUGCUCCUGCGGGCGGAUCCGAUGGAUGUGGCAGCCGGCGGUGGCAUUUCUGACGAGCGGUUCCGAGAAGAGAGGAUUGAUUUGGAUCUAUUCUUAUCGGCGCCGUUGUCGUGAUGCCCUCUUCUCCAGCGGAUGGCGGAACCCUUGGGCUUGGCUUCGUUAUCAAGAGGGUGGAGCGUGCGGCUUAUUUGUGGAGGUUGAGGUUGUGGAACAAUCUCGUCCAUUUUUGCUACAUCAUCGUCGUUGGUGUUUGAUGCCUUUCCAUCCGCCACUGCCAGUGUGUGCGCACUUUUUUCAGAGAUCGGUGACUGCAACAUCUCUGAUAUAUGGCAAAUUUUGUUACAGGACACUUCGACUUCAUGCUUUUAGCCGUAGGAUACUGGCCGAACUCACUUUUAGGGGAAAAUACUCUAUAAACAUGGUAAUUUGCCAAUGGACACCACGCCGAUUAGAAUAAUAAUUUCAGGUUGAGGAGGAGAGA
This is a long non-coding RNA of Oryza sativa Japonica Group (Japanese rice), 979 nucleotides long. RefSeq lists it as uncharacterized. Lineage: Eukaryota; Viridiplantae; Streptophyta; Magnoliopsida; Poales; Poaceae. The record is from RefSeq and is a predicted model, not a curated record.